This 1534-nucleotide long non-coding RNA is filed under the name Piliocolobus tephrosceles (Ugandan red Colobus). RNAcentral describes it as "lncRNA (ENSPTEG00000019693.1)". The record is from RNAcentral. Lineage: Eukaryota; Metazoa; Chordata; Mammalia; Primates; Cercopithecidae.
UCUCAGUGGGACACCGGGAAGGUGAUCGCUAGUGGGAGGUGACUGUACAGAAGGACGCGGCUGUCACAGGAUUGGGCAGGUCCCUUACCCCAGUCCCGGACUCAGCGUCCUGUCUGAAGCGGUCACCCCGAAGAGGGGGGGUCUGCGGAGACGUAGGGCCUGGCGGAGGGAAGGAUGGGGAGGCAUCUCAGGGAGGACUGGCGUCUGCCAAAUCCCAGGGCUGCCCUGAGCGGCCAAGAGGGGUAAGGGUGGGGACGACGGGAGACAAGCCACGUGCCGAAUGGGGACCUAACGCGGCGCGCGAUAGGAUGGGCGGAUGAUGAAGAGAACUAGGGUCGAAGGGCCGGACAGGGGCGACCUCAGUGACGGAACCGGACACAGACGCAGAUCUGGCAGCUGAGCGACAGGCUUCGGAGCAUUUCAGGGCGUCGCGGGGCUCCCCGCCGACAGUAGGGCUGUUGCCGAGCCUGUGACGUCCGCGGAGACCCACAGACCCCGGGUUGGGAGGAUGGCGCAGGAAGGGUACUGCGUGGCUGGGUUUGGGCACAAAAAGCGGAGGGCACUCACCCGAGCGGACCUUGGCUCCGAAGAAUCCGUUUCCGGGUCAACAAAAGAGUCGCGCGAAGGGCGGGGCCAGUACGUGCCGGCCGGGGAGGGGUAAGGCAGACAAAAAGGCAGGGCCGGGCCGGGGCGGGGUCUCGGGCAGGGGCAGGGCGCAUUCUGAGCUCCCGCCCCCGCCGCGUGCGUUUCCGACCCUGCUGGUUUUUCUCCUGGGCUGAAAGCGCGUCAGGUUCUGUUUGAGUGCGUUCGGUGCACCUUGGGGGCGCGCUGCUUCCAACUUCCUUUUAGGAAUUGGAAUCUGCCCAGCUGAGCCCCAGACGCUGGAGGGGUCCCGGGGGUCAGUCAGCCCUGCGCCAGCCUCCGGUUCCUCUUCUGGCCAUACAAGGAAGUCCAGUGCGGGGAUGACUAAGCAGCUGACCUGGGGGGAGAGCAGCCCUGGAGCGGAGGCAGGACUGGCCUCUCCUGCCAGCCAUCAGCCCCUGUGGGUUGGUCCUGCGGUGAAAAGUCCCAGGCCUCCCACCAGGGAGCACCUGACCUCUCUGCUCCCUGAGAGGAGUGAGGUGAGCCUCAGGGUCGGCCGGUAGAGGCACAGCCUUGCACUGACAUCAGGCCCUAAGCUCUAGUUCCACACAGAGAUAGCGGGUCUGUCCUGGCCUCCUAUGGGCUCCCAGGGACAGGGAGAUCUGGCCUGACCUUCCCAGCAACGCCUGCCCCAGUGGAGAAACCCCAGCUUCCCAGCAUCAGGACACACUCUCUCUCACACCCUCCGUAGUUCCCGCUGACCUCACCGCAAAGUCCACAGUAGAAACUCAGAGUCCUACUGAGGAGACACCUGCCCAGCUGUCAGCCUGCUCCCUCCACCUGCUUCCUCCACCUGCUCCCUCCACCUGCUUCNNNNNNNNNNCUGCUCCCUCCACCUGCUCCCUCCACCUGCUUCCUCCACCUGCUCCCCCCAUCUGCUCUAUCUCCUGCU